CAUCCUGAGGUCACUGUCUGGUGUGAGGGGAGGACAGCUGAUAACUACGUGGUUAUGCAGUGUUCCCAGGCAUCACUGGUCCCCAGCCAUGGCCUCUGCCUACCACUGCCACAAAUACAGAAGGAAUGCCAUCCCCUUCAGACUCAGCUUUAAUCCUCAGAGUUUCAUCUAGUCCUUUAUGGGCAGAUGUUACCCAAACCCAAAAUUUCCACAGGCCCUCUUGAUUUUUUCACAGUGAUCUAGAUCAGACAUUGAGCCUAUGCAUAUUACACCCCUGCACUGACUUUCUGAUUUCCAAAGCAAUUCUACAAUCUCUGCAACCCACUCAAAGUUUUUCUUUACCAUCUGGAGCCCUUCCAGAGUUGCUUCUUUGAGGUCACAAUAAGACUGUUUGUCUUUCUGUUUGCUUUGAUCUCUUGAUGGCCAGAGUCUCUGGGUAUCAUUAUCAGUAACAUCAUCAGCAACAACAACUUCUCUGGUGGUUACAUCAACACCAAAUUCAAUCUUUGUGUCAACUUGUACACAGUUCUGUGGCAACCAGGAUUUCUCCAGUAUUUUAAAAAUAACCUGUGCAGCAUGACUCACGCUAGCUACUUCACUUUGGCCUUUACCAAGUCCAGCACAGCAAAAUUUCACAGCAAUUCACUGUUUCUCAUUACUGGCAGCACCCUUGAAAACAUCUCCACAUUAGGAUAUAAUUCCAGGAGCACAAAUUCUGCUGAAUCCCAGUGCUAAGAAGUUAUGGCACCUAGUAGUCACUCAUUAGAUAUUUACUGAGUAAAUAAAAGAAAGUUACAACUCAGAAGUACUGUAUUAGAAUCCUUGCAAAGUACGUGGUUUCUCCUAGGAAAAUAUAUGAGAUACAAGAAGAGAGAUGGCUGAGGAAAACCAGGGUGUGGGGAAGGCCUGGGCCUUUGCAUCAGGGGUUUUUAAUUAGUAGUGGAACCCCAUUAUCUUGUUCCUUAACUCAGCAGCCCUGGAUUCAAAACAUCUGGGCAAGGUCAACUUUUGACUUUGUCUCUCAACCCAGAGUUUAUCCAUUUAUCCACUGAACGAAGUUGAAUGUGCUCCCAUUCUACCUCUUUUUUCUCAUGAAACUUGCAAGACUUUGGACAAACACACACACACACACACACACACACACACACACACACACACACACUAGUUUUUUAAAAAAAAAAACUUCAAAAAUAAUCUGUCUCAUUGAUCUUUCAUACACGUUUUUACUACCU
RNAcentral lists this long non-coding RNA (1232 nucleotides) under Pan paniscus (pygmy chimpanzee). Its description in RNAcentral is "lncRNA (ENSPPAG00000044684.1)". Lineage: Eukaryota; Metazoa; Chordata; Mammalia; Primates; Hominidae. The record is from RNAcentral.